Molecule: ribosomal RNA, 1260 nt
Filed under: Microbacterium sp. LC234
Lineage: Bacteria; Bacillati; Actinomycetota; Actinomycetes; Micrococcales; Microbacteriaceae
Also listed under: 5 other names
Description: bacterial SSU rRNA
Rfam family: Bacterial small subunit ribosomal RNA
Source: RNAcentral
GCUCUGUGGAUCAAGUGGCGAACGGGUGAGUAACACGUGAGCAACCUGCCCCGGACUCUGGGAUAAGCGCUGGAAACGGCGUCUAAUACCGGAUACGAGCUGCGACCGCAUGGUCAGCAGUUGGAAAGAUUUUUUGGUCUGGGAUGGGCUCACGGCCUAUCAGCUUGUUGGUGAGGUAAUGGCUCACCAAGGCGUCGACGGGUAGCCGGCCUGAGAGGGUGACCGGCCACACUGGGACUGAGACACGGCCCAGACUCCUACGGGAGGCAGCAGUGGGGAAUAUUGCACAAUGGGCGGAAGCCUGAUGCAGCAACGCCGCGUGAGGGAUGACGGCCUUCGGGUUGUAAACCUCUUUUAGCAGGGAAGAAGCGAAAGUGACGGUACCUGCAGAAAAAGCGCCGGCUAACUACGUGCCAGCAGCCGCGGUAAUACGUAGGGCGCAAGCGUUAUCCGGAAUUAUUGGGCGUAAAGAGCUCGUAGGCGGUUUGUCGCGUCUGCUGUGAAAUCCCGAGGCUCAACCUCGGGUCUGCAGUGGGUACGGGCAGACUAGAGUGCGGUAGGGGAGAUUGGAAUUCCUGGUGUAGCGGUGGAAUGCGCAGAUAUCAGGAGGAACACCGAUGGCGAAGGCAGAUCUCUGGGCCGUUACUGACGCUGAGGAGCGAAAGGGUGGGGAGCAAACAGGCUUAGAUACCCUGGUAGUCCACCCCGUAAACGUUGGGAACUAGUUGUGGGGUCCAUUCCACGGAUUCCGUGACGCAGCUAACGCAUUAAGUUCCCCGCCUGGGGAGUACGGCCGCAAGGCUAAAACUCAAAGGAAUUGACGGGGACCCGCACAAGCGGCGGAGCAUGCGGAUUAAUUCGAUGCAACGCGAAGAACCUUACCAAGGCUUGACAUACACCAGAACGCCCUAGAAAUAGGGAACUCUUUGGACACUGGUGAACAGGUGGUGCAUGGUUGUCGUCAGCUCGUGUCGUGAGAUGUUGGGUUAAGUCCCGCAACGAGCGCAACCCUCGUUCUAUGUUGCCAGCACGUAAUGGUGGGAACUCAUGGGAUACUGCCGGGGUCAACUCGGAGGAAGGUGGGGAUGACGUCAAAUCAUCAUGCCCCUUAUGUCUUGGGCUUCACGCAUGCUACAAUGGCCGGUACAAAGGGCUGCAAUACCGUGAGGUGGAGCGAAUCCCAAAAAGCCGGUCCCAGUUCGGAUUGAGGUCUGCAACUCGACCUCAUGAAGUCGGAGUCGCUAGUAAUCGCAGAUCAGC